AUUGAACGCUGGCGGCAUGCUUUACACAUGCAAGUCGAACGGCAGCGCGGGCUUCGGCCUGGCGGCGAGUGGCGAACGGGUGAGUAAUGCAUCGGAACGUGCCCAGUAGUGGGGGAUAGCCCGGCGAAAGCCGGAUUAAUACCGCAUACGACCUGAGGGUGAAAGCGGGGGACCGAAAGGCCUCGCGCUAUUGGAGCGGCCGAUGUCGGAUUAGCUAGUUGGUGGGGUAAAGGCUUACCAAGGCGACGAUCCGUAGCUGGUCUGAGAGGACGACCAGCCACACGGGACAGAGGAACGGGCCCGGCCUCCGAGGGGAGGCAGGGGGGGGGAUUUUUGGAAAAGGGGGGCAACCCUGAUCCAGCCUGGCCGGGGGGGGGAAGAGGGCCUGCGGGUUGUAAACCGUUUUUGUUGGGAAAAAAACCCUCUGGGCUAAUACCCCGGGGGGAUGACGGACCCGAAAGAAAAAGCACCGGCUAACUACGU
RNAcentral lists this ribosomal RNA (483 nucleotides) under uncultured bacterium. RNAcentral describes it as "partial 16S ribosomal RNA". It matches the Rfam family "Bacterial small subunit ribosomal RNA", at positions 28 to 506 of the family's 1533-position model. The record is from RNAcentral.